Molecule: ribosomal RNA, 510 nt
Filed under: uncultured bacterium
Lineage: Bacteria
Description: partial 16S ribosomal RNA
Rfam family: Bacterial small subunit ribosomal RNA
Source: RNAcentral
GACGAACGCUGGCGGCGUGCUUAACACAUGCAAGUCGAACGAAGAGCGAUGGAAGCUUGCUUCUAUCAAUCUUAGUGGCGAACGGGUGAGUAACGCGUAAUCAACCUUCCCUUCAGAGGGGGACAACAGUUGGAAACGACUGCUAAUACCGCAUACGAUCUAAUCUCGGCAUCGAGGAUAGAUGAAAGGUGGCCUCUACAUGUAAGCUAUCACUGAAGGAGGGGAUUGCGUCUGAUUAGCUAGUUGGAGGGGUAACGGCCCACCAAGGCGAUGAUCAGUAGCCGGUCUGAGAGGAUGAACGGCCACAUUGGGACUGAGACACGGCCCAGACUCCUACGGGAGGCAGCAGUGGGGAAUCUUCCGCAAUGGACGAAAGUCUGACGGAGCAACGCCGCGUGAGCGAUGACGGCCUUCGGGUUGUAAAGCUCUGUUAAUCGGGACGAAAGGCCUUCUUGCGAAUAGUGAGAAGGAUUGACGGUACCGGAAUAGAAAGCCACGGCUAACUACGUG